Molecule: ribosomal RNA, 584 nt
Filed under: Fusarium oxysporum
Lineage: Eukaryota; Fungi; Ascomycota; Sordariomycetes; Hypocreales; Nectriaceae
Description: eukaryotic LSU rRNA
Rfam family: Eukaryotic large subunit ribosomal RNA
Source: RNAcentral
GGGAUUGCCCUAGUAACGGCGAGUGAAGCGGCAACAGCUCAAAUUUGAAAUCUGGCUCUCGGGCCCGAGUUGUAAUUUGUAGAGGAUACUUUUGAUGCGGUGCCUUCCGAGUUCCCUGGAACGGGACGCCAUAGAGGGUGAGAGCCCCGUCUGGUUGGAUGCCAAAUCUCUGUAAAGUUCCUUCAACGAGUCGAGUAGUUUGGGAAUGCUGCUCUAAAUGGGAGGUAUAUGUCUUCUAAAGCUAAAUACCGGCCAGAGACCGAUAGCGCACAAGUAGAGUGAUCGAAAGAUGAAAAGCACUUUGAAAAGAGAGUUAAAAAGUACGUGAAAUUGUUGAAAGGGAAGCGUUUAUGACCAGACUUGGGCUUGGUUAAUCAUCUGGGGUUCUCCCCAGUGCACUUUUCCAGUCCAGGCCAGCAUCAGUUUUCCCCGGGGGAUAAAGGCGGCGGGAAUGUGGCUCUCUUCGGGGAGUGUUAUAGCCCACCGUGUAAUACCCUGGGGGGGACUGAGGUUCGCGCAUCUGCAAGGAUGCUGGCGUAAUGGUCAUCAACGACCCGUCUUGAAACACGGACCCCUGUGUGAAA